RNAcentral lists this ribosomal RNA (253 nucleotides) under uncultured bacterium. RNAcentral's name for it is "partial 16S ribosomal RNA". It matches the Rfam family "Bacterial small subunit ribosomal RNA", at positions 524 to 776 of the family's 1533-position model. The record is from RNAcentral.
GACAGAGGGGGCGAGCGUUGUCCGGAGUCACUGGGCGUAAAGCGCGCGCAGGCGGCAACCUAAGUGUCGUGUGAAAGCCCCCGGCUCAACCGGGGGAGGCCAUGGCAAACUGGGUCGCUCGAGCUGCGGAGAGGCCCCUCGAAUUGCCGGUGUAGCGGUGAAAUGCGUAGAGAUCGGCAGGAAGACCAAGGGGGAAUACAGGGGGAUGGCCGCACGCUGACGCUGAGGCGCGACAUCGUGGGGAGCAAACCGG